This 253-nucleotide ribosomal RNA is filed under the name uncultured bacterium. RNAcentral's name for it is "partial 16S ribosomal RNA". It matches the Rfam family "Bacterial small subunit ribosomal RNA", at positions 524 to 776 of the family's 1533-position model. The record is from RNAcentral.
UACGAAGGGGGCUAGCGUUGCUCGGAAUCACUGGGCGUAAAGCGCACGUAGGCGGACUCUUAAGUCGGUGGUGAAAUCCUGGAGCUCAACUCCAGAACUGCCUUCGAUACUGAGAGUCUCGAGUCCGGGAGAGGUGAGUGGAACUGCGAGUGUAGAGGUGAAAUUCGUAGAUAUUCACAAGAACACCAGUGGCGAAGGCGGCUCACUGGCCCGGUACUGACGCUGAGGUGCGAAAGCGUGGGGAGCAAACAGG